This 440-nucleotide ribosomal RNA is filed under the name uncultured bacterium. RNAcentral's name for it is "bacterial SSU rRNA". It matches the Rfam family "Bacterial small subunit ribosomal RNA", at positions 958 to 1400 of the family's 1533-position model. The record is from RNAcentral.
AACGCGAAGAACCUUACCAAGGCUUGACAUCGCCGGUUUACCCCUAGAGAUGGGGGGUCCUUUUGGGCCGGUGACAGGUGGUGCAUGGCUGUCGUCAGCUCGUGUCGUGAGAUGUUGGGUUAAGUCCCGCAACGAGCGCAACCCUUGUUCCAUGUUGCCAGCACGUGAUGGUGGGGACUCAUGGGAGACUGCCGGGGUCAACUCGGAGGAAGGUGGGGAUGACGUCAAGUCAUCAUGCCCUUUAUGUCUUGGGCUGCAAACAUGCUACAAUGGCCGGUACAGAGGGUUGCGAUACCGUGAGGUGGAGCGAAUCCCUAAAAGCCGGUCUCAGUUCGGAUUGGGGUCUGCAACUCGACCCCAUGAAGUCGGAGUCGCUAGUAAUCGCAGAUCAGCAUUGCUGCGGUGAAUACGUUCCCGGGCCUUGUACACACCGGUAUCUC